RNAcentral lists this ribosomal RNA (465 nucleotides) under uncultured bacterium. Its description in RNAcentral is "partial 16S ribosomal RNA". It matches the Rfam family "Bacterial small subunit ribosomal RNA", at positions 28 to 507 of the family's 1533-position model. The record is from RNAcentral.
GACGAACGCUGGCGGCGUGCUUAACACAUGCAAGUCGAACGGAAAGGCCCCUUUGGUGGUCCUCGAGCGGCGACCGCGUACGUAACACGAGCAUAACCUGCCCUUAACUACGGGAUAACUACAAGUACCUGGGGCUAAUACCGGAAACGAAUCAUUGCUGCAUGGUGGGGGUUGGAUAGCUUCGGGGGUUUUGGAUGGACUCGCGGCUUAUCGGCUUGUUGGUGGGGUAGUGGCUUACCAAGGCUUGGAAGGGUAGCCGGCCUGAGGGGGCGACCGGCCAUACUGGGACCGAGAUGCGGCCCAGACUCCGACGGUAGGCAGAAGUGGGGAAGAUUGAACGAGGGGCGGAAGCCUGAUGCAGCAACGCCGCGGGCGGGAUGACGGUCUUCGGGUUGUAAACCGCUUGCAGCAGGGGCUAAGCUUGUGGUGACGGUACCUGCAGAAGAAGCACCGGCUAACUACGUG